Molecule: transfer RNA, 99 nt
Filed under: Rhizobium laguerreae
Lineage: Bacteria; Pseudomonadati; Pseudomonadota; Alphaproteobacteria; Hyphomicrobiales; Rhizobiaceae
Description: tRNA-OTHER
Source: RNAcentral
GGCGUGUUCAAAUCGGACGAUCCGAAGAAGAUUGCCCGCUCCGUCAAGCAAUCCGCCGAGGGAGCGAUCGCCGCAAGUCGAGUCCCUUCCGCGCCGCCA